RNAcentral lists this unclassified non-coding RNA (241 nucleotides) under plant metagenome. RNAcentral's name for it is "partial contains small subunit ribosomal RNA, internal transcribed spacer 1, and 5.8S ribosomal RNA". The record is from RNAcentral.
UCUCCGUUGGUGAACCAGCGGAGGGAUCAUUACCGAGUUCAUCCGAGUCCCAAACCCCUGUGACCAUACCGCACGCUGCUUCGGCGGAGCGCCCCGGCGCCCGCACCCCCCUCGGGGGGCGGCGGCCCGGACCCAAGGCGGCUACAGAGGGACCCAAACACUGCAUUCGCCUCGGCCUGAAUCUACAUCCGAGUAAAUUACAAAUGAAUCAAAACUUUCAACAACGGAUCUCUUGGCUCUG